CUCAUGCUUGUCUACGACUAUAUGUCUGGAGGGUCUGUCAGUGACAACCUUUACGGUACUUAUAAACCUCAAAUAUUUCUUUCCACAAUAGAGGUUAAAGAUAAACUUCAAAUAUUUCUUUACACAAUAGAAGCUAGAGAUGACGAAAAAAAUGUAGUACUUUCUGUUUGCAGAUCCAGAGGCACCAAAAUAUCCCCAACUAGACUGGAAAACCAGGCUCAAAAUAGCUUUGGAUGCCGCAGAAGGUUAUUUUUGAAAGCAAUUAUUUAUUUCAUUAUCAAAUCAGUAAAUCCUUGAUUCAAGUCAUUGUGUUCAAAAUGCUACAUGUAAAGUUUUCAGUUGAAGUAAUGAUUUUUAAUUUCUUUAAAUAACAAAACUUGCAGGGCUGGAAUAUCUCCAUGUAGGUUGCACUGCAAAAAUAAUUCACAGGGAUGUUAAGACCUCCAACAUUCUUCUAGACAGUGAAUUGAAUGGCAAACUGGCUGACUUCGGCAUUUCAAGAGUGACAGGAAUUGGGGAAACUUCUCAAAUCGAUACAACUAUAAAAGGAACUCCUGGAUAUUUAGAUCCAAUGUAUUAUAGAACUCAUAUCUUGACGGAUAAGAGUGAUGUGUAUAGCUUUGGAGUCGUUUUGUUUGAGCUUAUAUGUGGCCGGAAACCCAUAGAUUUAAAAGUAUCUGCCGGAAAAACAUUGUUGACUGAAUGGGUUGUAUCUUAUGCGGGAGUAGAUAAAGAUGGCGCCAACAGUUAAGAAAUAGUUGACAAAAGGCUGGGCAACCGCUACAAUAUGAAAUCCAUCGUUCAUUUGACCAAUCUAGCCUGGAGAUGUAUUGCAAGCGAGCCUUCCGGUAGACCAAGCAUUAGUGAGGUUGUGGCGGAGAUCAAGGAAGGUGUCACGUUUGAGGAAGGGUAUUAUCGAGUUCCAGAUGAACUCUCACUCACAUUCACUGGCAGUUUUUCAGGUUCUAGGUUUGAAUUAAGGGAUAGUCCAUAAUAGUAUGCUGGGUUCAGUGUGGUUUCGAUAAUUGUAAGUAUAUCUCUUCGAGUUUGAAGCAACGGAAUUUUAAAACCUUAGAGGGUGGAGGAAUCCAACCUCUAUAUACUUAACGUAAAUAUAUUGCUUUGUGAGACGCAGUGAGCAUCCUUUUCUUGUAUUAAUGUCAUCUGAACAUCACCCA
This is a long non-coding RNA of Cryptomeria japonica (Japanese cedar), 1178 nucleotides long. RefSeq lists it as uncharacterized. The transcript has 3 exons. Lineage: Eukaryota; Viridiplantae; Streptophyta; Pinopsida; Cupressales; Cupressaceae. The record is from RefSeq and is a predicted model, not a curated record.